RNAcentral lists this long non-coding RNA (1005 nucleotides) under Laticauda laticaudata (blue-ringed sea krait). Its description in RNAcentral is "lncRNA (ENSLLTG00000010527.1)". Lineage: Eukaryota; Metazoa; Chordata; Lepidosauria; Squamata; Elapidae. The record is from RNAcentral.
CCUUCCUGCGUCCGGCUAUCUCCUGGUUUGGACCCCUUAAAAUAAUAACUCUGUGUGUGUGUGUGUGUGAGAGAGAGAGAGAGAGAGAGAGAAGGCUGCAACGAGAGCAGCCUUUUCUCUCCCCCCCGCCCUCCGCCUGACAGGCUCGCCUCAGGUGGAGAGGGGGAAACCGAAGCCCGUAUCCUCCUCAAUGGACGGCUGAAAGCGCUCCCCACCCCGACGUCGCCGGCGGCGGGAACGGCCAGUUUCUAUAGCGACGGCACUGAUCCGGGCUGCUCUCCACCCGGUCGGAACAAAACCAGGGAGCCCCGCCGCUCCGCCCCGACAUUGGCCGGGGCUGCUGCGGCAGAGCUGGGCGAGCCGAGCCAGCCAGAAGGGGAAAACGCGCCGCCGUCGCCGCCGAGCGAGCCAGGUAAGGCGCGUCGUAUUGCGCCUUCGCCCGCGUCCGGUUCGCCGGGUUGCAGGGAGGGGAACCGCCCUCGGGGAGGGGGGGGGGGGNGUUGCAGGGAGGGGAACCGCCCUCGGGGGGGGGGGGGGGGAGAGAGAGGAGGAGGAGGAGGAAGGAGGCAGGAGGCUCCUCGCUCUCUUUUCCUCCCCCAGGGCACAGCGGGCUCCGGCAGCCUCGGGGCUUCUCUCUCGUCGGGCCGCCGAGGGUGGUUGUGGAGAGGGAGGGCGCGACAGGCGGGUCGGUUCGAGGGAGCGAAGUGGCGUGAAGUGAGGCGGAAAGCAAAUCCAGAAAGCCGCAGCCACAGAAGUGAGGAAAGUUUGGCCGCUCCGGUUCCGGCUCAAGCACCCGCCAAAAGUGCGCAGAAAUUUCAUCUUAUAUUUAGAACACGAACAUUAAAAAAAGGCACUGAAGAAUAAAGCAGAUAAAUAUGAAUGAAUACCAUUGCUGCUUUCUUUUACCUGGCUGGAUAUAACUGAUGUGAUAAUCAUAUUAUUUCGGAUAUUCAUUUUUUAAAAAAAAAGAAGGUAAGGGCUUGGCUGAAAUCCUUCUCCAGAAAU